This 253-nucleotide ribosomal RNA is filed under the name uncultured bacterium. RNAcentral describes it as "partial 16S ribosomal RNA". It matches the Rfam family "Bacterial small subunit ribosomal RNA", at positions 524 to 776 of the family's 1533-position model. The record is from RNAcentral.
UACGUAGGGCGCAAGCGUUGUCCGGAAUUAUUGGGCGUAAAGAGCUCGUAGGCGGUUUGUCGCGUCUGCUGUGAAAGUCCGAGGCUCAACCUCGGAUCUGCAGUGGGUACGGGCAGACUAGAGUGUGGUAGGGGAGACUGGAAUUCCUGGUGUAGCGGUGGAAUGCGCAGAUAUCAGGAGGAACACCAAUGGCGAAGGCAGGUCUCUGGGUCGACACUGACGCUCAUGCACGAAAGCGUGGGGAGCAAACAGG